CCUACGGGUGGCAGCAGUGGGGAAUAUUGGUCAAUGGGCGAAAGCCUGAUCCAGCCAUGCCGCGUGUGUGAAGAAGGCCUUCGGGUUGUAAAGCACUUUCAGUGGGGAAGAAAGCCUUGGGGCUAAUACCCUCGAGGAAGGACAUCACCCACAGAAGAAGCACCGGCUAACUCCGUGCCAGCAGCCGCGGUAAUACGGAGGGUGCGAGCGUUAAUCGGAAUUACUGGGCGUAAAGCGCGCGUAGGCGGUCUGAUAAGCCGGUUGUGAAAGCCCCGGGCUCAACCUGGGAACGGCAUCCGGAACUGUCAGGCUAGAGUGCAGGAGAGGAAGGUAGAAUUCCCGGUGUAGCGGUGAAAUGCGUAGAGAUCGGGAGGAAUACCAGUGGCGAAGGCGGCCUUCUGGACUGACACUGACGCUGAGGUGCGAAAGCGUGGGUAGCAAACAGGAUUAGAUACCCGGGUAGUC
RNAcentral lists this ribosomal RNA (465 nucleotides) under Vreelandella stevensii. Its description in RNAcentral is "partial 16S ribosomal RNA". It matches the Rfam family "Bacterial small subunit ribosomal RNA", at positions 338 to 795 of the family's 1533-position model. The record is from RNAcentral. Lineage: Bacteria; Pseudomonadati; Pseudomonadota; Gammaproteobacteria; Oceanospirillales; Halomonadaceae.